UGCGCAGGCGGUUUUAUAAGCCAGAUGUGAAAUCCCCGGGCUUAACCUGGGAAUGGCAUUUGGGACUGUAAGGCUAGAGUACGGCAGAGGAGACUAGAAUUCCUGGUGUAGCAGUGAAAUGCGUAGAUAUCAGGAGGAAUACCGAUGGCGAAGGCAGGUCUCUGGGUCGAUACUGACGCUCAUGCACGAAAGCGUGGGGAGCAAACAGGAUUAGAUACCCUGGUAGUCCACGCCCUAAACGAUGUCAACUGGUUGUUGGGGAAUUGAUUUCCUUAGUAACGAAGCUAACGCGUGAAGUUGACCGCCUGGGGAGUACGGUCGCAAGAUUAAA
This 331-nucleotide ribosomal RNA is filed under the name uncultured Pseudomonadota bacterium. RNAcentral's name for it is "bacterial SSU rRNA". It matches the Rfam family "Bacterial small subunit ribosomal RNA", at positions 568 to 898 of the family's 1533-position model. Lineage: Bacteria; Pseudomonadati; Pseudomonadota. The record is from RNAcentral.